Molecule: unclassified non-coding RNA, 96 nt
Organism: Gorilla gorilla gorilla (western lowland gorilla)
Lineage: Eukaryota; Metazoa; Chordata; Mammalia; Primates; Hominidae
Rfam family: Y RNA
About the family: Y RNAs are components of the Ro ribonucleoprotein particle (Ro RNP), in association with Ro60 and La proteins. The Y RNAs and Ro60 and La proteins are well conserved, but the function of the Ro RNP is not known. In humans the RNA component can be one of four small RNAs -- hY1, hY3, hY4 and hY5.
Source: Ensembl
AACUGGUGUGAUGAUAGUGGGUUAUCAGAAUUUAUUAACAUUAGUGUCACUAAAGUUGAUAUACAACCCUCCACUGCUAAAUUUGACUGGCUUAAA